Molecule: ribosomal RNA, 433 nt
Filed under: uncultured bacterium
Lineage: Bacteria
Description: partial 16S ribosomal RNA
Rfam family: Bacterial small subunit ribosomal RNA
Source: RNAcentral
AACGAACGCUGGCGGCAUGCCUAACACAUGCAAGUCGAACGAGACCUUCGGGUCUAGUGGCGCACGGGUGCGUAACGCGUGGGAACCUGCCCUUAGGUUCGGAAUAACUCCCCGAAAGGGGUGCUAAUACCGGAUAAUGUCUUCGGACCAAAGAUUUAUCGCCUUUGGAUGGGCCCGCGUUGGAUUAGCUAGUUGGUAGGGUAAAAGCCUACCAAGGCGACGAUCCAUAGCUGGUCUGAGAGGAUGAUCAGCCACACUGGGACUGAGACACGGCCCAGACUCCUACGGGAGGAAGCAGUGGGGAAUAUUGGAAAAUGGGCGAAAGCCUGAUCCAGCAAUGCCGCGUGAGUGAUGAAGGCCUUAGGGUUGUAAAGCUCUUUUAAACGGGAUGAUAAUGACAGUACCGGGAGAAUAAGCGCCGGCUAACUACGUG